GAUGAACGCUGGCGGCGUGCCUAAUACAUGCAAGUCGAGCGAACGGACGAGAAGCUUGCUUCUCUGAUGUUAGCGGCGGACGGGUGAGUAACACGUGGAUAACCUACCUAUAAGACUGGGAUAACUUCGGGAAACCGGAGCUAAUACCGGAUAAUAUUUUGAACCGCAUGGUUCAAUAGUGAAAGACGGUUUUGCUGUCACUUAUAGAUGGAUCCGCGCGGCAUUAGCUAGUUGGUAAGGUAACGGCUUACCAAGGCAACGAUGCAUAGCCGACCUGAGAGGGUGAUCGGCCACACUGGAACUGAGACACGGUCCAGACUCCUACGGGAGGCAGCAGUAGGGAAUCUUCCGCAAUGGGCGAAAGCCUGACGGAGCAACGCCGCGUGAGUGAUGAAGGUCUUCGGAUCGUAAAACUCUGUUAUUAGGGAAGAACAAAUGUGUAAGUAACUGUGCACAUCUUGACGGUACCUAAUCAGAAAGCCACGGCUAACUACGUG
This 497-nucleotide ribosomal RNA is filed under the name uncultured bacterium. RNAcentral describes it as "partial 16S ribosomal RNA". It matches the Rfam family "Bacterial small subunit ribosomal RNA", at positions 28 to 507 of the family's 1533-position model. The record is from RNAcentral.